CGGCAGCAUGGAGGAGCUUGCUCCUCUGAUGGCGAGUGGCGAACGGGUGAGUAAAGCAUCGGAACGUGCCGUGUAGUGGGGGAUAACGUAGCGAAAGUUACGCUAAUACCGCAUACGCACCGAGGUGGAAAGCAGGGGAUCGCAAGACCUUGCGCUAUACGAGCGGCCGAUGUCAGAUUAGCUAGUUGGUAGGGUAAAGGCCUACCAAGGCGACGAUCUGUAGCGGGUCUGAGAGGAUGAUCCGCCACACUGGGACUGAGACACGGCCCAGACUCCUACGGGAGGCAGCAGUGGGGAAUUUUGGACAAUGGGGGAAACCCUGAUCCAGCCAUGCCGCGUGAGUGAAGAAGGCCUUCGGGUUGUAAAGCUCUUUCGGCUGGGAAGAAAUCGCACAGGCUAAUACUCUGUGUGGAUGACGGUACCAGCAUAAGAAGCACCGGCUAACUACGUGCCAGCAGCCGCGGUAAUACGUAGGGUGCGAGCGUUAAUCGGAAUUACUGGGCGUAAAGCGUGCGCAGGCGGCUGUGCAAGACAGAUGUGAAAUCCCCGGGCUCAACCUGGGGAACUGCAUUUGUGACUGCACGACUAGAGUAC
Molecule: ribosomal RNA, 594 nt
Filed under: uncultured beta proteobacterium
Lineage: Bacteria; Pseudomonadati; Pseudomonadota; Betaproteobacteria
Description: bacterial SSU rRNA
Rfam family: Bacterial small subunit ribosomal RNA
Source: RNAcentral